This 109-nucleotide microRNA precursor is filed under the name Bigelowiella natans CCMP2755. RNAcentral describes it as "miRNA EPrBNAG00000013406". Lineage: Eukaryota; Cercozoa; Chlorarachniophyceae. The record is from RNAcentral.
ACUCGGAGCUGCUGAUGACGAUGAUGAUGAUCAUGAUCAUGAUAUCGUGUCUGUUCAUGCUUUGGAGUUAUUUCUGCCCUCUUCAUCAUCAUCAUCGUCAUUAUCAUUA